RNAcentral lists this ribosomal RNA (450 nucleotides) under uncultured bacterium. RNAcentral describes it as "bacterial SSU rRNA". It matches the Rfam family "Bacterial small subunit ribosomal RNA", at positions 340 to 784 of the family's 1533-position model. The record is from RNAcentral.
UACGGAAGGCAGCAGUGGGGAAUAUUGCACAAUGGGCGCAAGCCUGAUGCAGCCAUGCCGCGUGUAUGAAGAAGGCCUUCGGGUUGUAAAGUACUUUCAGUCGUGAGGAAGGUGUUAAGGUUAAUAACCUUAGCAAUUGACGUUAGCGACAGAAGAAGCACCGGCUAACUCCGUGCCAGCAGCCGCGGUAAUACGGAGGGUGCGAGCGUUAAUCGGAAUUACUGGGCGUAAAGGGCACGCAGGCGGUUAAUUAAGUUGGAUGUGAAAUCCCCGGGCUUAACCUGGGAAUGGCAUUCAAGACUGGUUAGCUAGAGUCUUGUAGAGGGGGUAGAAUUCCAUGUGUAGCGGUGAAAUGCGUAGAGAUGUGGAGGAAUACCGGUGGCGAAGGCGGCCCCUGGGACAAAGACUGACGCUCAUGUGCGAAAGCGUGGGGAGCAAACAGGAUUGAUA